This 468-nucleotide ribosomal RNA is filed under the name uncultured bacterium. RNAcentral describes it as "partial 16S ribosomal RNA". It matches the Rfam family "Bacterial small subunit ribosomal RNA", at positions 28 to 507 of the family's 1533-position model. The record is from RNAcentral.
GACGAACGCUGGCGGCGUGCUUAACACAUGCAAGUCGAACGGAAAGGCCCUGCUUUUGUGGGGUGCUCGAGUGGCGAACGGGUGAGUAACACGUGAGUAACCUGCCCUUGACUUUGGGAUAACUUCAGGAAACUGGGGCUAAUACCGGAUAGGAGCUCCUGCUGCAUGGUGGGGGUUGGAAAGUUUCGGCGGGUGGGGAUGGACUCGCGGCUUAUCAGCUUGUUGGUGGGGUAGGGGCUUACCAAGGCUUUGACGGGUAGCCGGCCUGAGAGGGUGACCGGCCCCAUUGGGACUGAGAUACGGCCCAGACUCCUACGGGAGGCAGCAGUGGGGAAUAUUGCACAAUGGGCGGAAGCCUGAUGCAGCAACGCCGCGUGCGGGAUGACGGCCUUCGGGUUGUAAACCGCUUUCGCCUGUGACGAAGCGUGAGUGACGGUAAUGGGUAAAGAAGCACCGGCUAACUACGUG